RNAcentral lists this ribosomal RNA (368 nucleotides) under uncultured bacterium. RNAcentral's name for it is "bacterial SSU rRNA". It matches the Rfam family "Bacterial small subunit ribosomal RNA", at positions 28 to 396 of the family's 1533-position model. The record is from RNAcentral.
GACGAACGCUGGCGGCGUGCUUAACACAUGCAAGUCGAGCGGUAAGGCCCUUUCGGGGGUACACGAGCGGCGAACGGGUGAGUAACACGUGGGUGACCUGCCCUUAGCUCUGGGAUAAGCCUGGGAAACUGGGUCUAAUACCGGAUAUGACUCCAUGACGCAUGUUGUGGGGUGGAAAGCCUUGUGCGGCUAGGGAUGGGCCCGCGGCCUAUCAGCUUGUUGGUGGGGUGANGGCCUACCAAGGCGACGACGGGUAGCCGGCCUGAGAGGGCGACCGGCCACACUGGGACUGAGACACGGCCCAGACUCCUACGGGAGGGCAGCGGUGGGGAAUCUUGCGCAAUGGGCGAAAGCCUGACGCAGCGACG